AGAGUUUGAUCCUGGCUCAGAAUGAACGCUGGCGGCGUGCUUAACACAUGCAAGUCGAACGGGAAAGGGCUUCGGCCCGAGUACAGUGGCAAACGGGUGAGUAAUACAUAAGAAUCUGCCAUUCUGUGAAGGAUACCCAUGAGAAAUUGUGGUUAAUACUGCAUAAGUCCUAACGGAGAAAGACGGCCUCUUUGCUGUCGCAGAAUGAUGAGCUUAUGUCCUAUCAGCUAGUUGGUGAGGUAAAAGCUCACCAAGGCAAUGACAGGUAGCCGGCCUGAGAGGGUGUACGGCCACACUGGGACUGAGACACGGCCCAGACUCCUACGGGAGGCAGCAGUGGGGAAUAUUGCGCAAUGGGCGAAAGCCUGACGCAGCGACGCCGCGUGGAGGAAGAAGGUUUUCGGAUUGUAAACUCCUGUUAAGUGGGAAGAAAGACUCAGUGCUAAUAACGCUGAGGGAUGACGGUACCACUAGAGAAAGCCCCGGCUAACUUCGUGCCAGCAGCCGCGGUAAUACGAAGGGGGCGAGCGUUAUUCGGAAUUACUGGGCGUAAAGGACGCGUAGGCGGUCUAUUAAGUCAGCUGUUAAAUUCCAGGGCCUAACCCUGGGUAUGCAGAUGAUACUGAUUGGACUAGAGUAUGGAAGAGAGGGGUGGAAUUCUCGGAGUAGCGGUAAAAUGCGUAGAUCUCGAGAGGAACACCGAUGGCGAAGGCAGNCCCUUGGUCCAAUACUGACGCUUANGCGUGAAAGCGUGGGGAGCAAACANGAUUAG
RNAcentral lists this ribosomal RNA (772 nucleotides) under uncultured bacterium. RNAcentral's name for it is "bacterial SSU rRNA". It matches the Rfam family "Bacterial small subunit ribosomal RNA", at positions 8 to 781 of the family's 1533-position model. The record is from RNAcentral.